UAAAGAAGUACCUUAGAAUAGUUAUUUGAUGCCAUUGGGCAAAAGAUGUCUAUUAAAAUACAAAAACAAAGAACAACAAAAACUGUAAGCACAUAUUUUUGAAUCACUGUAAAUGCUCAGAAGCAUUUUUAUUGAGUGGAUUCACUCUUUUGUCAAAACCAAGCCUUCAGUUUUAAAGGUAUGUACUUUCAGAGAUGAUCUGUAGAAACAUGUUCAUUGCAGGGUAAACCACACCCUGGUGCAGCGAGAUUUACAGCAUGCCUCAUUCACCAGGCAAUAAGAAGAGGAAAGAACAGCUCUAAAGUUUAAUCUAUUCUGUAGCGGAAAUAUUUAUGCACUGAUGUUCCCAAAUAUUUAGAAGAAUUUUCUGUGAAUUUUACUCAAGGGCAGCACAUGAGGCUAUUUUCUUCCCUCCUUUAAGGUUUUCCUCCAGAACCAGUUCUUCCCAUCAGUAGUUGCCAAGACAGAGGUACAGCUUCUUGAAGUGCUUAUUAAGCAGUUUACCAAGGGAAAAGAGGAGCAGGGGAUUCGUGGUCAACAAGAGCAGAGGAUGGAGAGAUGAUCUGAAAGAAUAACUAGAACAUUAAUCAGUGGGAUCUCCAGCACCCUUCCUCCCCAGAAGGAUUUUGACUGCUACACAGUUUGAGUUUUUGUGAGCACACCAGGAACAGAAUUUGGUAUAGCAGUUGAUCUGAAUCUGUGGCACAGAAGUGAGGGCAGCAGAAAGUAGCCCAGGGAGUCUGACACUCUCCCUCUUAUGAUGGCAUUGGAAAGUAUCCAGUCGUACCUGCUUUCUUCUGCAGAUCUCAAAGAUUCAUACGAAAGAAAGUACAUUUCAUUGGUGCAUGAAUGGAAAUUUAAAAGGUUU
RNAcentral lists this long non-coding RNA (868 nucleotides) under Chrysemys picta bellii (western painted turtle). RNAcentral describes it as "lncRNA (ENSCPBG00000022059.1)". Lineage: Eukaryota; Metazoa; Chordata; Testudines; Emydidae. The record is from RNAcentral.